UAGGGAAUCAUCCGCAAUGGGCGAAAGCCUGACGGUGCAACGCCGCGUGAGUGAUGAAGGUUUUCGGAUCGUAAAGCUCUGUUGACAGGGAAGAACCCACGCCAGUCGAACAGGCUGGCGUGCUGACGGUACCUGUCCAGAAAGCCCCGGCUAACUACGUGCCAGCAGCCGCGGUAAUACGUAGGGGGCAAGCGUUGUCCGGAAUUAUUGGGCGUAAAGGGCACGCAGGCGGUUUCGUCAGUCCGAUGUGACAGGCCACGGCUCAACCGUGGAAGGCCAUUGGAAACUGCGAAACUUGAGGACAGAAGAGGAGAGUGGAAUUCCACGUGUAGCGGUGAAAUGCGUAGAUAUGUGGAGGAACACCAGUGGCGAAGGCGACUCUCUGGUCUGUACCUGACGCUGAGGUGCGAAAGCAUGGGGAGCAAACA
RNAcentral lists this ribosomal RNA (428 nucleotides) under uncultured Marinococcus sp. RNAcentral describes it as "bacterial SSU rRNA". It matches the Rfam family "Bacterial small subunit ribosomal RNA", at positions 355 to 774 of the family's 1533-position model. The record is from RNAcentral. Lineage: Bacteria; Bacillati; Bacillota; Bacilli; Caryophanales; Bacillaceae.